GCGGCCUAUCAGCUUGUUGGUGAGGUAAUGGCUCACCAAGGCGACGACGGGUAGCCGGCCUGAGAGGGCGACCGGCCACACUGGGACUGAGACACGGCCCAGACUCCUACGGGAGGCAGCAGUGGGGAAUAUUGGGCAAUGGAGGAAACUCUGACCCAGCGACGCCGCGUGCGGGAUGAAGGCCUUCGGGUUGUAAACCGCUUUCAGCAGGGAAGAAGCGAAAGUGACGUUUUCUGCAGAAGAAGCACCGGCUAACUAUGUGCCAGCAGCCGCGGUAAUACAUAGGGUGCAAGCGUUGUCCGGAAUUAUUGGGCGUAAAGAGCUCGUAGGUGGUUCGUCACGUCGGAUGUGAAAAUCUGGGGCUUAACCCCAGACCUGCAUUCGAUACGGGCGAGC
This 396-nucleotide ribosomal RNA is filed under the name uncultured Actinomycetes bacterium. RNAcentral's name for it is "bacterial SSU rRNA". It matches the Rfam family "Bacterial small subunit ribosomal RNA", at positions 233 to 641 of the family's 1533-position model. The record is from RNAcentral. Lineage: Bacteria; Bacillati; Actinomycetota; Actinomycetes.